This 489-nucleotide ribosomal RNA is filed under the name uncultured bacterium. RNAcentral's name for it is "partial 16S ribosomal RNA". It matches the Rfam family "Bacterial small subunit ribosomal RNA", at positions 29 to 504 of the family's 1533-position model. The record is from RNAcentral.
AGUGAACGCUGGCGGUAGGCCUAACACAUGCAAGUCGAACGGCAGCACAGUAAGAGCUUGCUCUUACGGGUGGCGAGUGGCGGACGGGUGAGGAAUACAUCGGAAUCUACUUUUUCGUGGGGGAUAACGUAGGGAAACUUACGCUAAUACCGCAUACGACCUACGGGUGAAAGCAGGGGAUCUUCGGACCUUGCGCGAUUGAAUGAGCCGAUGUCGGAUUAGCUAGUUGGCGGGGUAAAGGCCCACCAAGGCGACGAUCCGUAGCUGGUCUGAGAGGAUGAUCAGCCACACUGGAACUGAGACACGGUCCAGACUCCUACGGGAGGCAGCAGUGGGGAAUAGUGGACAAUGGGCGCAAGCCUGAUCCAGCCAUACCGCGUGGGUGAAGAAGGCCUUCGGGUUGUAAAGCCCUUUUGUUGGGAAAGAAAAGCAGCAGGUUAAUACCCCGCUGUUCUGACGGUACCCAAAGAAUAAGCACCGGCUAACUUC